GAUGAACGCUGGCGGCGUGCCUAAUACAUGCAAGUCGAGCGAACGGACGAGAAGCUUGCUUCUCUGAUGUUAGCGGCGGACGGGUGAGUAACACGUGGAUAACCUACCUAUAAGACUGGGAUAACUUCGGGAAACCGUAGCUAAUACCGGAUAAUAUUUUGAACCGCAUGGUUCAAAAGUGAAAGACGGUCUUGCUGUCACUUAUAGAUGGAUCCGCGCUGCAUUAGCUAGUUGGUAAGGUAACGGCUUACCAAGGCAACGAUGCAUAGCCGACCUGAGAGGGUGAUAGGCCACAAUGGAACUGAGACACGGUCCAGACUCCUACGGGAGGCAGCAGUAGGGAAUCUUCCGCAAUGGGCGAAAGCCUGACGGAGCAACGCCGCGUGAGUGAUGAAGGUCUUCGGAUCGUAAAACUCUGUUAUUAGGGAAGAACAUAUGUGUAAGUAACUGUGCACAUCUUGACGGUACCUAAUCAGAAAGCCACGGCUAACUACGUG
RNAcentral lists this ribosomal RNA (497 nucleotides) under uncultured bacterium. RNAcentral's name for it is "partial 16S ribosomal RNA". It matches the Rfam family "Bacterial small subunit ribosomal RNA", at positions 28 to 507 of the family's 1533-position model. The record is from RNAcentral.